GAGAGGGGUCGAUUUACUUGCUCGGAAGAGAGCAAGAUGCUGCCAGAAACAUCCCUGUGGGGCUUCUCUGCCAGGGCAAAGGGCCAGCCACAGGCAGGGUGUGCAAAGAUAGCUGUUUGGGAGAGCAACAACCCAGGCUAGGGCAGGUGGUGAACUACGCCUGGGCAUGGCCAAGCCAGAGGAAACUCUGGCGGAGUCCUGCAGCAAUUCUGACAUGCAAAUUGGUCGCCCGAUCUGGGUCUAGGGACGAAAGACUAAUUGAGCCAUCAGUAGCUGGUUCCCUCUAGAGUUUCCCUCAGGAUAGCUGGCACUCAGCAAUGGGCAAUUUUACCUGGUAAAGCGAAUGAUUAGAGGUCUUGGGGCCAAAACAAUCUCAACCUAUUCUCAAACUUCCAAUGGGUAAAGCGGCCAGCUUGCUGGUGUGGAGCUGCACCAUGGAAUGAGAGUGCUCAGUGGGCCACUUUUGGUAAACAGAGCUGGUGCUGCAGGAUGAACCCAAUGCUGAGUUAAGGUGCCCAAUGCCAAUGCUCAGAGCCCAGAAAAGGUGUUGGUUGAUCUAUUUUUAAAAGCUGGGGAGGGAUCUGGAGCCCAAGGCUGAUGGGGAAUGGCUGGGGGACCCAGUGGGGGUCAGGCCCUGCUCCCAGGGAAUGGGCAAUGGGACGAGGGGAAACGGCCUCAAGUUGUGCCAGGGCAGGU
RNAcentral lists this non-coding RNA (696 nucleotides) under Egretta garzetta (little egret). Its description in RNAcentral is "Eukaryotic large subunit ribosomal RNA". It matches the Rfam family "Eukaryotic large subunit ribosomal RNA", at positions 671 to 1291 of the family's 3401-position model. Lineage: Eukaryota; Metazoa; Chordata; Aves; Pelecaniformes; Ardeidae. The record is from Rfam by way of RNAcentral.